AUUGAACGCUGGCGGCAGGCCUAACACAUGCAAGUCGAGCGGAUGAAGGGAGCUUGCUCCUGGAUUCAGCGGCGGACGGGUGAGUAAUGCCUAGGAAUCUGCCUGGUAGUGGGGGAUAACGUCCGGAAACGGGCGCUAAUACCGCAUACGUCCUGAGGGAGAAAGUGGGGGAUCUUCGGACCUCACGCUAUCAGAUGAGCCUAGGUCGGAUUAGCUAGUUGGUGGGGUAAAGGCCUACCAAGGCGACGAUCCGUAACUGGUCUGAGAGGAUGAUCAGUCACACGGGAACUGAGACACGGUCCAGACUCCUACGGGAGGCAGCAGUGGGGAAUAUUGGACAAUGGGCGAAAGCCUGAUCCAGCCAGGCCGCGUGUGUGAAGAGGGUCUUCGGAUUGUAAAGCACUUUAAGUUGGGAGGAAGGGCAGUAAGUUAAUACCUUGCUGUUUUGACGUUACCAACAGAAUAAGCACCGGCUAACUUCGUG
Molecule: ribosomal RNA, 484 nt
Filed under: uncultured bacterium
Lineage: Bacteria
Description: partial 16S ribosomal RNA
Rfam family: Bacterial small subunit ribosomal RNA
Source: RNAcentral